CCUACGGGGGGCAGCAGUGGGGAAUAUUGGACAAUGGGAGCAACCCUGAUCCAGCCAUGCCGCGUGUGUGAAGAAGGCCCUCGGGUUGUAAAGCACUUUCAGUGAGGAAGAACGCCUGGUGGUUAAUACCCAUCAGGAAAGACAUCACUCACAGAAGAAGCACCGGCUAACUCCGUGCCAGCAGCCGCGGUAAUACGGAGGGUGCGAGCGUUAAUCGGAAUUACUGGGCGUAAAGCGCGCGUAGGUGGCUUGAUAAGCCGGUUGUGAAAGCCCCGGGCUCAACCUGGGAACGGCAUCCGGAACUGUCAAGCUAGAGUGCAGGAGAGGAAGGUAGAAUUCCCGGUGUAGCGGUGAAAUGCGUAGAGAUCGGGAGGAAUACCAGUGGCGAAGGCGGCCUUCUGGACUGACACUGACACUGAGGUGCGAAAGCGUGGGUAGCAAACAGGAUUAGAUACCCUAGUAGUC
RNAcentral lists this ribosomal RNA (465 nucleotides) under Vreelandella stevensii. RNAcentral's name for it is "partial 16S ribosomal RNA". It matches the Rfam family "Bacterial small subunit ribosomal RNA", at positions 338 to 795 of the family's 1533-position model. The record is from RNAcentral. Lineage: Bacteria; Pseudomonadati; Pseudomonadota; Gammaproteobacteria; Oceanospirillales; Halomonadaceae.